AUGUCGAGCCUCCGCAACUCUCGUCGGAAGACCGACGUCGUCGGCGACUGCAUUGACAAGCUCCACGAGAAGCGCCGCGCAGUGCGCGAGGAGGGCAUGGAGGCGCUGGAGGGCUUCGUCCCCGUCGACGAGCUCGACUACCGCUACUUCACCAUCUUCGAUCGCUGCUGCGCCUCCCUCCGCAAGGGCGCCUGCAGGGAGGCCACGCUCGCCUACCGCGCCAUCGGCCUCCUCGCGCUCACCGUAGGCGCCGCCACUGCCGAUGGCGUCGAUUGCUCCAAGGACAUCCUGGAGAAAGCGCUCCCCGUCCUCGAGGAGACGCUGCAUGCACCAUCGUCCGGCGUGACGACCAUGGUGGCCUCUCUCGAUUGCCUCGCUGCCGUAACCCUCACCGGCACUCGCCGCCCGGAGGACGCGGCCCCGUCCGUGGAGGCCGUGUGGGGCGCGAUCAGGCGUGCCGAAGAUGAGACGAAACCGAGCCCUGAGGUCCUGGCGGCCGCCGUGCGCGCGUUCGCCUUGCUCCUCACCACCGUCGGUGACUUGAGGUCGUACCCCUGCACCGUCAAAGAGGCCAUCAUCCCAUUCCAUGACCUCGCCGAGCUCCUCGAGUGCGAACACCCUGACAUACGGAUUGCCGCCGGCGAGGCGCUGGCCGUGUGCGCCGAGCUUAACCUGACACAACACGCCUCGCCCGAAGACAUCCAAGUGAUCGAGAUGAUACUGUCCGACCUCGUCGCCGAUGCCAGCGGCGGCCAGAACCUCACGGAAGAGCAGGUUGAGUUCUUCCAGCAGAUCGUCGACAUCAUGAGCCAAGUCGGUUGCCCGGAGAUGGAGGAGUCGAUGCCAUCGUCGUACACGAGCGGGCGCAGCAUGCUCAGGGUGUCUACAUGGGCGAGGCUGGUCCAGCUCAAUUUCCUGAAGCGGUUCCUCAACAAGGGCUUCCGUAAGCACCUCCAGGACAACCUGCUCUUCCGGGAACAGGUGGACUCCAGCGACGCCGUAGGCGAGGCCGACGAACAGCCGGUCGGGAAGGGCAGGCGGCGCGGGGGUGGGAGGGAGAAACGGUGGAGCUCGGCCAUGAGGAGGGAUCGCGACAUCGCAUGGGAGAGCAAGAAUGGUUUCUCCCUGUAUGAUUAG
This 1137-nucleotide ribosomal RNA is filed under the name Triticum aestivum (bread wheat). RNAcentral's name for it is "partial small subunit ribosomal RNA". Lineage: Eukaryota; Viridiplantae; Streptophyta; Magnoliopsida; Poales; Poaceae. The record is from RNAcentral.